Molecule: long non-coding RNA, 1427 nt
Filed under: Marmota monax (woodchuck)
Lineage: Eukaryota; Metazoa; Chordata; Mammalia; Rodentia; Sciuridae
Source: RNAcentral
CUCAAGGUCAAGGUCGCUGCUGGGCAGUGGGGGAGGGAGUCUCGUGGCCCCGCAGGAGAGGAGCAGGCACCUCCAGAUGUGGCCCAGGGCUCAAAGCUUCCCGAGGUCCUGGCACUGUCCCUGAGCUGGCCCUGGCUGCUGCCCAGGCAUGCUAGGACCCCCGCCGCAGCCCUCCAAGGAUGGACCAAGGUCCUAUUAGAAAAUAAGAGGUCCAAGCCACAGAAGUUCCCCUUCUCCAGGUCACUUAGAUCUCGAGAUCACUGGAGCCGGACGCCCAGGACCUCCCAGCCGGGACAGGGCUGUCUACCUCCAAGGGGGGACAUGUGCCGCUGAGGAUGGACCUCAAAGAGGACAUUGCUUUUUAUUUAUUUUUUUUGCUGGCCCGCUGGGGAUGGACCCCAGGGCGGCACACGUGACAGACAAGGGCUCUACCACCGAGCCACAGUCCCUCAGAGGACGCAGGCAGACCACAUGCCUCUUGUCCUGGGUCUUCUGAGCCGAUCCCCAGGAGCAGACGGUCCUCCUAAGUCAACCCCCAAACUCCUGGACUCCAACAGAAAACCAGCCCAACCCUCAAGAGUCUUUUGACAAAAGACCAGCCUCCCUCAGUCCCAGGUGGUCCCCGCAGGCCCCGCCCACAUCCCCCCCUUCCCAGCUUGCCUGUGCCUUGUGACGAGGAGCUCACUACCUACAGUAGCUGGGUCUGCCAUCUGACAUCUCUGUUUCCCUCCAGGCACCUGGGCGGGAAGCUAGUCCCCACAGAUGCAAAGAGUCGGUCCAUAACACCCUUGGGAACGGCCGGCCGCCUGGGUGGGUCCUGUCUUAGUUAGUCCUACCACCCUGUACAUCUGGGUGCCCACACGGCAACCAUGAGGAACCGUGCUUACCCUUCCUUGCUUAUCAGAGAGUCUCCCCCAUUUAUCUGGCUACAGAUUGCUGCCUUCGAGAAGCAUCCUCCAGUGCCCGGUAGAUCUGGGAAGUGCAGGCCACCCAGGGGUUCCCAGAGUCAGAAUGGCGCUUAGCCCCCACCCCCGCCCCAUCCCCCUGGCUUCCUCUCCAAGAUCCGAGGUACGAAGAAGAAAGCUGAGGCUCUGGCGUGGAUGUGGUUUGAGUGGGACCCCUGUGCUGGGCGGUGGGACGAAAGCUCGGUCCCCAGGGUGGCCGGGCGGGAGGGGCGGAGCCGUUGAGCCAUGGGGAGGGGUCAGUGCUGGUCUCUAGGAAUGAGUUUUUGUUGGUACAGCGAGAGCAAGACCCGUCCCUCACCGUCUCUGGCUUCCUGUGUCACCCCGGGAACUCUGCCUCCUACACGCUACCCCAGCAUGAUGUCAUCCACCACAAAAGCCACCAGGACCUAGCAGAAGCCAGCGCAUGCUCUUGAACUUCCAGAGCUGAGCUAAAUAAACCUUUUGUCUUCAUAAAGCUCUCGG